Molecule: ribosomal RNA, 253 nt
Filed under: uncultured bacterium
Lineage: Bacteria
Description: partial 16S ribosomal RNA
Rfam family: Bacterial small subunit ribosomal RNA
Source: RNAcentral
UACAGAGGGUGCAAGCGUUAAUCGGAAUUACUGGGCGUAAAGCGUGCGUAGACGGUUAUGUAAGUCAGAUGUGAAAGCCCCGGGCUCAACCUGGGAAUUGCAUUUGAGACUGCAUAGCUAGGGUGCGGAAGAGGGAAGCGGAAUUUCCGGUGUAGCGGUGAAAUGCGUAGAUAUCGGAAGGAACACCAGUGGCGAAGGCGGGUCUCUGGGCAACAACUGACGCUGAGGAGCGCAAGCGUGGGGAGCGAACAGG